GAUGAACGCUAGCGGCAGGCCUAAUACAUGCAAGUCGGACGGGAUUUGGGAGCUUGCUUCCAAUGGGAGUGGCGCACGGGUGCGUAACACGUAUGUAACCUACCUUAAUCAGGGGGAUAGCCUCUCGAAAGAGAGAUUAACACCGCAUAACAUGAUUGAAUAGCAUUAUUUAAUCAUCAAAUAUCUAUAGGAUUAAGAUGGGCGUGCGGGACAUUAGCUAGUUGGUAGGGGUAACGGCCCACCAAGGCGACGAUGUCUAGGGGAUCUGAGAGGAUGACCCCCCACACUGGUACUGAGACACGGACCAG
This 308-nucleotide ribosomal RNA is filed under the name uncultured bacterium. Its description in RNAcentral is "bacterial SSU rRNA". It matches the Rfam family "Bacterial small subunit ribosomal RNA", at positions 28 to 334 of the family's 1533-position model. The record is from RNAcentral.